Molecule: ribosomal RNA, 253 nt
Filed under: uncultured bacterium
Lineage: Bacteria
Description: partial 16S ribosomal RNA
Rfam family: Bacterial small subunit ribosomal RNA
Source: RNAcentral
UACGGGGGGGGCAAGCGUUGUUCGGAAUUACUGGGCGUAAAGGGCUCGUAGGUGGCCAACUAAGUCAGACGUGAAAUCCCUCGGCUUAACCGGGGAACUGCGUCUGAUACUGGAUGGCUUGAGUUUGGGAGAGGGACGCGGAAUUCCAGGUGUAGCGGUGAAAUGCGCAGAUAUCAGGAGGAACACCCGUAGCGAAGGCGGCACUCUGGGCCGAUACUGACACUGAGGAGCGAAAGCGUGGGGAGCGAACAGG